Molecule: non-coding RNA, 122 nt
Organism: Ceratotherium simum simum (southern white rhinoceros)
Lineage: Eukaryota; Metazoa; Chordata; Mammalia; Perissodactyla; Rhinocerotidae
Source: RefSeq, a predicted model, not a curated record
UAGUUGAGGAGUUAAGACAGAAACAUAGAAAAAAAAUUUCAGAAAAAAUACAAGGCAGAGAAUGGUAAUGGUGGAUGAAUUCUGUAUUAAAGAAAAGACUUCAAUUCAAUACAGCAGCAGCU